UAGGUAGCAGAAAAGCAUUGGAGUCCCUGGCUGGGUUAGCCCAGGUUUCUAGGAGUGUGGUAAGCAUCGAAUGACCUUUGUCCUUUUAAGGCACAUUAUGUUAGUUUUCCCCAAGGUUUCAACAGAAAAUGAGAAAUAUCCCCUGACGAUUGACUGAAAACAUGCAGCAACCACUAUUUUCCUGCUCCUCGUUGAUAAAAGCAUUGGAAGUGACCUCAGCGGGGGAUCCAGGUCAGUUUCUGGAAGACUUGUGCGUGUAGUGAAUGAAUAUCUGGUUUUGUCUCUGCUGGGCCUGUGUGCCUGGAAAGGAAUCAUUUUGGCCUAGGAUCAUCCAGAUCAAUUAUGCAGCUAUAGCCAAAACCAAGUUCUUUUUAUUGCAAUGAGAGGAGCUCCAUGUAAGUCAUUGGAAGGUCACAUGUUCAGAGACUGUCAGCUGUGGAGGGUUAUGUAACAGUGGUUAUGCAAUGCCACGUUAGAACUGUAGCCCCAGCAGCAAA
This 497-nucleotide long non-coding RNA is filed under the name Theropithecus gelada (gelada). Its description in RNAcentral is "lncRNA (ENSTGEG00000004905.1)". Lineage: Eukaryota; Metazoa; Chordata; Mammalia; Primates; Cercopithecidae. The record is from RNAcentral.